GCCUUCGUGGUGUAGUGGUCAGCACGCUGGGCGCGUAUUCCAGAAGUCCGUGGUUCGAUUCCUGGCUAAAGCG
Molecule: transfer RNA, 73 nt
Filed under: Stegodyphus mimosarum
Lineage: Eukaryota; Metazoa; Arthropoda; Arachnida; Araneae; Eresidae
Rfam family: tRNA
About the family: Transfer RNA (tRNA) molecules are approximately 80 nucleotides in length. Their secondary structure includes four short double-helical elements and three loops (D, anti-codon, and T loops).
Source: Rfam by way of RNAcentral